This 476-nucleotide ribosomal RNA is filed under the name uncultured bacterium. RNAcentral describes it as "partial 16S ribosomal RNA". It matches the Rfam family "Bacterial small subunit ribosomal RNA", at positions 30 to 523 of the family's 1533-position model. The record is from RNAcentral.
AUUGAACGCUGGCGGCGUGCUUAACACAUGCAAGUCGAACGGAUGAAAUAAGCUUGCUUAUUUCGUUAGUGGCGCACGGGUGAGUAAUGUAUAGCUAACCUGCCCUUUAGUGGGGGACAACAGUUGGAAACGACUGCUAAUACCCCAUACUCCUUCUUAUCUUAAGAUAAGUUGGGAAAGAUUUAUUGCUAAAGGAUGGGGGUUUAUGGUAUCAGCUAGUUGGUGGGGUAACGGCCUACUAAGGCGAUGACGCCUACCUGGUCUGAGAGGAUGAUCAGGCACACUGGAACUGAGACACGGUCCAGACUCCUACGGGAGGCAGCAGUGGGGAAUAUUGCACAAUGGAGGAAACUCUGAUGCAGCAACGCCGCGUGGAGGAUGACGCAUUUCGGUGUGUAAACCCCUUUUAUAAGGGAAGAUAAUGACGGUACCUUAUGAAUAAGCACCGGCUAACUCCGUGCCAGCAGCCGCCGUAA